GUGUUUGCUCCAUCAGCACAUAUACUAAAACUGGAACGAUACAGAGAAGAUUAGCAUGGCCCCUACACAAGGAUGACACGCAAAUUGGUGAAGUGUUCCAUACUUUU
Small nuclear RNA from Rattus rattus (black rat), 107 nucleotides. The record is from RefSeq and is a predicted model, not a curated record. NCBI's taxonomy places the organism in Eukaryota, Metazoa, Chordata, Mammalia, Rodentia, Muridae.